This 230-nucleotide ribosomal RNA is filed under the name uncultured bacterium. RNAcentral describes it as "partial 16S ribosomal RNA". It matches the Rfam family "Bacterial small subunit ribosomal RNA", at positions 562 to 791 of the family's 1533-position model. The record is from RNAcentral.
AAAGCGUCCGCAGGCGGUCUUGUAAGUCUGUCGUUAAAGCGUGGAGCUUAACUCCAUUUGAGCGAUGGAAACUGCAAGACUAGAGUGUGGUAGGGGCAGAGGGAAUUCCCGGUGUAGCGGUGAAAUGCGUAGAUAUCGGGAAGAACACCAGUGGCGAAGGCGCUCUGCUGGGCCAUAACUGACGCUCAUGGACGAAAGCCAGGGGAGCGAAAGGGAUUAGAUACCCUUGU